CCUACGGGUGGCAGCAGUGAGGAAUAUUGGUCAAUGGGCGGGAGCCUGAACCAGCCAAGUCGCGUGAGGGAAGACGGUCCUAUGGAUUGUAAACCUCUUUAGGCGGGGAGCAAUGCCGGGCACGCGUGCCCGGAGGGAGAGUACCCGCAGAAUAAGCAUCGGCUAACUCCGUGCCAGCAGCCGCGGUAAUACGGAGGAUGCGAGCGUUAUCCGGAUUUAUUGGGUUUAAAGGGUGCGUAGGCGGAUUUUUAAGUCAGCGGUAAAAUGUCCGGGCUCAACCCGGGCCGGCCGUUGAAACUGGGGAUCUUGAGUGGGCGAGAAGUAUGCGGAAUGUGUGGUGUAGCGGUGAAAUGCAUAGAUAUCACGCAGAACUCCGAUUGCGAAGGCAGCUUGCUGCAGCGGAACUGACGCUGAUGCUCGAAAGCGCGGGUAUCGAACAGGAUUAGAUACCCCAGUAGUC
This 460-nucleotide ribosomal RNA is filed under the name uncultured bacterium. RNAcentral describes it as "partial 16S ribosomal RNA". It matches the Rfam family "Bacterial small subunit ribosomal RNA", at positions 338 to 795 of the family's 1533-position model. The record is from RNAcentral.